Molecule: long non-coding RNA, 632 nt
Organism: Eriocheir sinensis (Chinese mitten crab)
Lineage: Eukaryota; Metazoa; Arthropoda; Malacostraca; Decapoda; Varunidae
Exons: 3
Source: RefSeq, a predicted model, not a curated record
GGUCAUCAUUGUACGUCCUGGCUUGCCCAACUCUUCGGACCAAGAAAAGAAACACUGUCAUACUAAAAAAUUUCUGCACCAUGACUUACUGAAACAAAUACGAGGCAGAACACAAACAAAUAGGUCAUCUUUGUAGGCCAUGACUUGCCCAACUCUUCGGACCAAAAAAUAAAUAAUGUCAAACUUGUAUUUUUCUGCACCCUGGCUUACUGAAACAAAUACAAGGCAGAACAAAGAUACAUCGGUCAUCAUUGUACGUCCUGGCUUGCCCAACUCAUCGGACCAAAAAAUAAACACUGUCAUACUAAAAAUUUUCUGCACCCUGAAUUACUGAAAGAAAUACCAGGCAGAACACAAACAAAUAGGUCAUCUUUGUAGGUCCUGACUUGCCCAACUCUUCAGACCAAAAAAUAAACACUGUCAUACUAAAAAUUUUCUGCACCCUGAAUUACUGAAAGAAAUACCAGGCAGAACACAAACAAAUAGGUCAUCUUUGUAGGCCCUGACUUGCCCAACUCUUCGGACCAAAAAAGAAACACUCAUACUAAAAAUUCUCUGCACCCUGACUUACUGAAACAAAUACCAGGCAGAGCACAGACAAACAUGGCCUUAAUAUAUCUGUAGGCUCUGAC